Molecule: long non-coding RNA, 15082 nt
Filed under: Citrus x clementina
Lineage: Eukaryota; Viridiplantae; Streptophyta; Magnoliopsida; Sapindales; Rutaceae
Description: Citrus clementina (C. clementina) long non-coding RNA (CCLE_LNC005313)
Source: RNAcentral
AGGGACCAAAUUAUCAUUCACAUACCUGCUAAAACAUAUAAACAGUACAGAAUGCUUUCUUUUUAUUUAUUUCACAAAAUUUCCAUUUCUUUAGCACACUCGCAAUUAUUACAACUUGGGUUCUUAUUUUGUAACUAAUAUAUUAGGUAAGUUACAACCCACUGGAGAAUCCAAGUAAAAUGAAGCUUAUUACAACAAUACAUAAAUAAGCAUUUGAUAUUCACUUAAAAGAUAUAAUGAUAGGUAAUGUCUAAUUUAAAUUUUAAUUAUUAUAUUUUUUUGAAUUCAAAUUUAGAUGGUCUUCUAAAUAAAAUUACUUUGAAACUACUCGGUACUUUGAAACUACUCGGUCUGGUGGCCCUAGGGCCAAGAAACAAAUUUUAAGGACAAACCUCAAUAAGAGAUCUUAAACCUAAAAUGGAGGUAAUUUUAUAGUCACUAAACCCAGCAUCGGCAAAAAGCUUGGCCCAUUCUUUCUCAUCUCGUUCUGUUCCGGUGGCCAAGACCAUCAUCAACAUAUCAAAAAAGAGUUGUGUUUCAGUAGACUCAUCAUUCCCUUUUUUAUUCUCUCUCAUCAUGUCAAUUAUAAUCACCUUUCCUUUCUUGCCAUCGCUCGUAAUUGCUUCCUUACAUUUCUUAAGAAUCUUCACGCAUUCCUCAUCAUUCCAGUCAUGCAAUAUCCACUGCUUGUCAUCAUCAAUAAUAUUAGAAUUUAGAAUAUUUGAAGAUUCAGAAUGGAAAAUUAAAUGAGUAUAUGAUGUACAUAAGUAAUUCGAAAUCCUUCUAGUAUAUAUAUUAAUUUUAUGCUCAAGAAACCACUUUAGUUAAACUAUAAAAAUUAAUACGCGUACCUUGAGUACAACAGCAUCAGCUGGGGGAAUGGCCUCAAACAUGUCCCCUCCAACAUAUUUAAGAUUGGCCAAAUCGCUUUCGAGGCCAUUAACCACAUGCGGCAGAUCAAAAUCAGUGCAUUCCAAAUUUGGAAACGCUAUAGCUAUGGCCUUGGCCACAGUUCCCGUGCCCCCACCCACAUCCACUAACGAAUUCAAACCUUGGAACACAUCCUUACACUUAUGUAUCACCACUCUUGUUGCCAACCGCGCAUCACUUGCCAUGGCUUCAUUGAAGAAAUUGUUAAUCUUUGGCUCGUCCCCAGCAUACUCCCAAAAACUCUUCCCAUGUGCCGUAUCAAACGGCGCAGGAUCGUCGCUUUGAAACCAAGUGCUCAGUUUCAGCCACGGUGAUAGCAAAAUAGGAUCUAGCAUGGCUUGCAAGAAAGGUGUCACGCUUAAGGGGCUGUCUUUUAGGAGAAGUUUAGAAGCAUUUGUGAGAACAUAACCUUGUUCUUCGUCAUUGUUAUUUCGGCUGCUAUUUAGCGUUUGCUGUGCAAAGAAGCCUGAGUGGAUCAGAAUGCGCAUCAAGCGAUACACACAUCGGGUUUUUGAUGGGUUUAUUGUUAGGGCACUAACAAGCUUGUUGAGGGUCAUGGGUUUGCCAUGUUUGUUGAUAAUAUCUGGUAUGCUUAAUUCAACAGCGCAUUUAAGUGACAUGGAGUUUAUGAAAUUGAAAAUGUGAUUCCAAACAUGAGCUUGAGCUUCAAGUAGCUCAGUAUCGUGCUCUCCAUCGAUCAAAUUCAUCCUUAUUAGGCUAAGUAGGGUUAAUUGAUAUUUGAUGCAAAUCAAUGGAUUUGAGCUCUAUAUAUAAUAGCGAAAGAGUCAUAUAUACUAUUAGGACCCAUUUGAUAUUAAAGUGUUCUUGUUUUUAUUUAAGCUCUUGUAAAAAAAAAAUCUAUAAUUGUUAAAUAAAAGUUGAUGGUGUAGGAUAAAUAUGACUUCUAAAUAAUAAUUUUAACAAAAAUAAUAAAAAUAUACAGAUUUUUUAUCAUACAAGUGUGGAGAAAAUUAACUCAGUUUUCAAAAUACAACAACAAAUGUUUACAAUAUACUUUAAAGAUGCAGUUUCAAAUUAUAACCACCUGACUACAAUACCAAAUAGACCCUUAAUAUGCGUUCAUAAUAAUUUUCUGUCGUGCCAUCCAAAAGAAAAGGCGUUGGAGUGUUUUAAAAAACGUUUUUCUGAAUGCAUCUAAUUGCUAACUAAAUUAAUAACUUGCUAAGGGUUAAAUUCAAAGAAAAAGAUGGGGAUCAAAGAGGUUGUGACAAAAAUUAUUGUGAAAAAUUAAUUUUUUAUUGCCACGUGAUUCACGCCAUCGGCCGAAAAUUAUUGCAAGAUAUGGCUCAAAUAUACGUAUUCAGAUCUGCUAAAUCUUGUUAUCCAAAUAAUAAAAUUAAUUCAGAAGACCCACUUAGAAAAUUAAUUCUGUUAACAUCUCGCGUGCCUAAUCAUCGAAAAAAUAUGCAACUUGCAGUUUGGGGUAAGGCAUUAUUUAUUCCAUCCAAGACGUCUAAGGAAAAGAACAUAAUUGGAGAAAGAAAUAUCAUGUUGAUUAUAAAUGCUUUCGGAAUUAGGCUACAAAGAGAAUCACGUGAAGUGAAGUAAUAUUGAGUGUUUCCUUAAUUAAUAAUACAAACGGACACCAAAUCUGAAUUAUUGUGCUUUUUUUUGGGAUUGAAGUGCUGUAACUUUACAAUUGUUGUGAAAAUAAAUUAUAAUUAUGAAAUAUAAUUUAAUAGUAUGUAAUAAAUAUAAUUUUUAAAUAAUAAUUUUGAUAAAAUUAGUAAAUAUAUAAUAAAAUUUUCAUCAUACGUAUGUAAAAUUAAAUCAAUUUAGCUUUCAAAAUACGGCAGCUAAUAUUUAUCAAAUAUAUUAAUACUGUAGUUUUUAAGUUAUAACUGUCCAAUUUCAAUCUCAAAUAAGCCUUAAGUAUAACAUCUCUAAUUGUAAUCUUGCUGAUUCUGAGGUGAUCUUGAAUAAUGUGUUAGUUGUGUCCCAUGCUGUACAUGUAAACAACAAUCACUUGUACUUUCUAAAUAUAUCAGCCUGCAUGUUUUUCUCAAUUGCAGGAACCUUCUUGUUUCCUUAUUUGACUUUUAAGUCUGUAUCAUAGAAUUCUCCCCGGUAAUAAAAAAUAGUUAAUUGAUUUAAAAAAUAAAGCAUAUGUAUGAUGUCAAAUUAUCUUUAAUUAUAUUAAAUAUCAACAAUAUCCUCAUUGUAACCAUUACAUCUCAUGAUAAGUAACGCAAAAAAUGACACAUCGAUGAAGUUUUUAAGGGUGGGACACUGUAAUUUUUUUCCACGACCUUGUUAACAUAAAUAUUUCUUUAAUAUUGAUUUUGAUGAUAACAAACUUGAUUAAGAUUGUUUCAAAGCUCAAAUUAUUCUUUCAUAUAGUUUUCAUACUAUAAAGGCUUCAUAUUCAAUAAAAAGUAAUUUUAGGAUUUUCAUGUUAAUGAUUUAAAUUGAAAAAGGUUUGAGAACUUUGAAAUUAGCAAAUAUUGCUUGAAAUUCUGAAAAUGGACUUAUUUGACAAGUUUUAUAAAAUUUUGGGUCAUAAUAUAAUUUUAUAAAGUUUGGGGGCCAAAAUAUAAUUUUACAAAAAUAAGUUCACUGUAGCAGUCAUUGUAGAAAACGGUGAUCCUACAGCUUUAUAACAGCUCGCCGACAUCGAGCAAAAAUGAAGAUUAGCCUCUGGACACUAACGACGUUCUGACAUCUUGAAAACGGCGAUCCGACAAUUUGAAAUUCAGCCCAACAGUCAUAUUGACUAGUUAAAUGGCGAUCUGACAUCUAAUUAACGGUGAUCUGACAGUGAGCAGAAAGUCAAUAACGGCUAGUUUCCAGCUCUAACUAUAAAUAAACUCAAUCAAAUUCAAACAAAAAUUAUUCCAACAAUUAUCAUUGAGCAAAUUAUUGAGCGUACAACUUUCAUUGAGCCUAAAAUUCUUAUAUUCAUUUCAUUUACUCACACUUUGGAUUUUUAUUUGUAAUCAAACACAUUGUGUGAGAGAGAUUUAUUUUGUAAUAUUCUUUAAAAUCAAAUUGUGAGAUUGUAAGUGUUGGGAUACACUUGGGUUAAGAGAUUGAGGAUAAUUUCUUAUUGUAAAGGUUUAUUGACACCUUGAAAGUUAAUUGUAAGAGCGGUUGAAGUCUUGGAGGGUUGCUCAGUGGAAUCCUCAAGCCUGGUGAGCUUGGAGGCGUGGACGUAGGCACGGUUAGCCGAACCACGUAAAAUCACGUGUUUGAUUUCUCUUCUCUUCUCUUCUCUUACUCUUUUAUUAUCUUGCUUGAUUAAAUUUAUUAUUUUUGUUCUUAUUAAGGCAUUAGAUUUAAAUUGUCGUGUGCUUUGUUUUGCAUAAAUUUUGAUAACCCAAUUCACCCCCCUUCUUGGAUUGCUUAGAUAGUAUUUCAGACCUAUGCCCAAAUAAUUUAAAAACCAAUACUUUUUGAAAUUGUGUAACAUCAUCUUGUUGGCAAUAUAAAUUGAAAUCAAGUUCAUGGCCCAUGACCUUCAAGUACUGCAACAAAAAUGCUCCACAAUCACCACUAAAAAAAUUCAUAUAAAUCAAUUGUUAGAAAUCACCAUUCUUAUUGUUAAGUCGAAAAAACAAUACACACACACAAACACACACACACACACACACACACACACACACACACACACACACACAUACAUACAUACCCUGAUUUUUGAUGCGGACUGUUACAUACUUGCAUGAUUUGGCUCAUACAAUGGACUGCAAUUUAAUCAUGUUACCAACGCAAACGGCCAAUCCUAAACCACAUUUUCUUCUCAUCAGUCUUCACUUCUCUCAGUGGUAUGCUGUGGAGUAACUGAGCAGAAACUUCAACUCUUUCACAUCCAAAAAAUGACCGAAACAAGAAUGCCUAAAAAUACUUUUUUGCUCCUUAAAGAGUUUAUUUUUUAUAUCCUCCUCUGCAUCUAGUGAUGAUCGGUUAGAAAUCUUGGCUUUAAAGUUUUCAUAUUCCUUGAUUUUCGGUUCCAUUUGCAUAAACAAAAAGAAAAUAUUUGAAUUAUAAUAUAAAUACAAAUAAAGUUGCAUAAUAAUAAAUUCUAAACCAAUCAGAAAAAUUACACGCCAUUCUGGUCGAGAAUAAUUUUCCUUACACGAUUACAGUCGAUUAAAGUAUCCAGUGCACGACUACAGUUGACUAAAAUAUGCAUUGCCCGACUACAGUCAAGUAAAGUAUAUAUUACACGACUACAGUCGAGUAAAAUAUACAUUACACAACUAAAUUUGAGUAUAGUAAAAUCAUUACACGACUACAAUCGAGUAAAGUAUUCAUUACACCAUUACAGUCGAGUAUAUAAACCAUAAAUAAUUCUUUGCCUCUAUGGAAAAUAAAGUAAUGCAUAAAAAAAAUUAUUCUUUGCCUCUAUAGAAAAUAAAGUAAUGCAUAAAAAAAAUUGUCUUCCUAAUAGAUUUAUUAGAUCAAACGGAAGGAUUAUAGUAAAGAUGAACGAGUAGCCAACAUCAAGGCAAAACAAAAUAGAAAAAAAUAAGUCCCUCGUAAGCAUUAUCAAGAACUCUCCUAUUCAUUUCUUGCCAAAUAACCUAAAUAAAAGCUGCACGAUAUAACUUCACAAAGACUUGGCUUUCUACCGUCCAAGAAAAUGUAAUGAUUAUUCAUAAAAAAAAAAAAAAGGAGGCAUAGGAAGUUGGAAUCACUUGAAAAAACUUCACUGCCUUUUUGUUAAUACAACACCCUUAAACAUGAAGCAAUUGACAAAUGAUCAAUUUUCUCAAUCCUUUCUAUAUACACAACACUCCAUUUAGGCGAAAAAUAAGCACUAGAUGUACUUCUUUGUAAUAUAUCAAAAGUGAAUCCUUCCUUAAGCCACAUAUGAAAAACUUGGAAUCUUACAAGGAAAAAGUGUUCAGCUUCAGCUGCAUUUGUACUGGUAAUUAUAGGAAACAAUUCCUUAUCCUAGGGUUUGAAGCACAUCGGAUUUUGAUCUUCACACGAACGGUUAAAUAUGCAUAGAGUUGUGUAAAUAAAUAUUACAAUGUGAAGGAUUAAAAUUAGUAAAUUAAAAAUUGUUAGCCUAUAUGGCUAUAAAUAUUGAUUUUGAUGAUAUCAAACCACAUAUUUUGGUUAAGGAAAAUUGAGAGUAGUUAAACAAAGAUUUAUAUAUUGUGCUUUUAUAAUAGGAAAAUGAUUUUAUGGAGUUAAGUUUUUUUUCAAGUUAUGAACUAAAAUGAAAGAAUUUUACAAUCUUUGAUUUUAAUAAAUAUUGUUUUGAAUUUUGGAUUUAGAAUUUUUUGAAAAUAUUUAAAUCUUUUGGGCUAUUCUAUAAUUUCACAUAGUUUGGGCAAUAUAAUAAUUUCAGAAAAUUUUGGGAAUAACAAGUAUUAUUUUAGAAAUUCUAAAAUUGAACCUAUUUGCAACUAUUCAUAACGUUUUGGGCUAUAAUGCAGUUAUGAAAGUUUUAGAGUAAAACUGUAAUUUUAGAAACCAUUUCACUGUAGCAAAGCGGCUAACCGGAUGUUAUAAAGCGGCAAUCCAGUUAUGGGCAGAAACUCUCUGGAAAGAAAGAGGCAUACCGGAUGUGCAAAAAUUCAAAUUUUUUAACAUAACGGUAACAUGAAACGGCUAACCGGAUUCACAAAAGCGGCAAGCUAGUUAUCACCAGAAAGUCAAUGACGACUAGUUUUCUUCCUCAACUAUAAAUUGGCUCAAAUCAAAUUCAUUUUAGAUAAGACAACCAUUGAUAUUUUGAGCAAUUUUCUGCAAAUCUAAGAGCAUAAACUUUGUAUUCAUUUCACUUAUUCACACAUAUUGAGCUUUCAUUUGUAUUCAAACACAUUGUGUGAGAGAAAGUUUUGUAAUUCUUUUUGUAAAAUCAAAUUGAGAGGUUGUAAGUGUUAGAAUACACUUAGGAUAAGAGAUUGGGAAUAAUCUUUUGUUGUAAAGGUUCAUUGACACCUUGGAAGUCAAUUGUAAAUGUUUGAAGCCUUGGGAGGCUUGGAUAGUGAAAUCCUUAAGCCCGGUGUGCUUGGAGGCGUGGACGUAGGCGGAGAUUGCCGAAUCACGUAAAAAUCCUCGUGUUUGUUUUUCCCUUCCCUUACCCUUUUAUUUUUUUGAUUUAUUGAAUUUAUUGCUUUCGAUUUCAUUAAGGCAUUAGAUUGAAUUAUUGUGUGAUUUGCUUACUUAUUUUUUAAAUACCCAAUUCACCCCCUUUCUUGGGUUGCAUAACUUGUAGUUCAAAAAAUCCAGUCAAAAAAUUCCAUUGAUGAUUACCUCUUGAAGCAAAGCUAAAACCCACCGUGGGUUUUGCAUAAAAUUGUCAAGUUGAAGUUUAAUUUUUUAACAAGAUAUUCAAAUUAAGGUAACAAAAAAUAGUGCAAUAAAACCAGCAUAUGCUAAAAUCAAUUGUAGAUGUGGUGACUCACCUUUAAUUUGGCCAAUUUCCCUUUAAAAUAGCAGAUUUGGGUGUUAAAACAAACAGCAGCAAGAGUGCGAAAUACCAGCAGUAGAAGCAUCGUCGGUGUUCACUUCAUCUCAAAGCCCACCGGAGUGACUUCACCGGAGUUCUUGGAGAACGCUAGUAGUGAAUGAUAAUGCUGGCUGGUCGUGAAUGAAAUUUGGGGGUUGCAGCUUGGUUGUGAAUGCUUGAGAUGAUUUAGGUUUUCAUUUAGGGUAAUUUCAUAUUUGCACUUUAAAAAGGGCAUAUGUGAGGAAUUUUGGAGUAUGAGGGUAUUUUUAGCUAAAUACCCGAUUUUGGGGGUAUGGCCAGGGCAAAUCCUUGCAGAUCCUUACACUUCAACGGCUCACUAUCAGUAUUGGGAUGACACAGGAUCUUCUUAUCAGGGUUAAAGCUCAAUAAGAGACCUCAGACCCAAAGUAGAAUUUAUAUUGUAAUGGCUGAAACCAGCUUCUAAGAAGAGCUUCUUCCAUUCUUUGAUGCUCUGCUCUUUGGCCACACUGAAUAAAGACAUCAUCAACAUUUCACAGCACAAUUGUGUCUCGGUUGAGUCCUUGUCUAUGCUUUGAUCUUCUAUGACCAUGUCUAUGACAAUCACUUUCCCUCCUUUAUCUUUGCUCCCGGCAAUAGCUUCUUUGCACUUCUUCAAUAUCUGCACGCUCUCUUCAUCACCCCAGUUAUGCAAAACCCACUUCAUACAUAUAUUUUGUCAUAUAAAUUUAAUUAACAAGUUAAAAAUCUUGGAAUUCUGUUAAUAUAUAGAAGGGAUAUUAUCAUUUUACUACCAAAGUUUUACUGACAUAUCAUGUCAGUACCAAGAUUUUCUGAAAAGUGCAUUUUACUACCAAAGUUUUGCGCCGUUAUCAAUUCACUACCAUUCCGUUAACAAUGUUAAAAAUUUACUGAUGUCAUAAGGGCAUCAAAGACAUUUCCAGCUGUAAGAGUAAAAUUGUCUGUUAAUUUGAUAGAUAAAUUAUUAUUUUACUACCAAGUUUUUAGGGGAAUUAUCAUUUUACUACCAAUUUUUAGGAGAAUUAUCAUUUUACUACUGAAUUUUUAGGGAAUUAUCAUUUUACUACCAAACUCUUGGGGGUAAAAUCGACUUUUAACUCAAUUUCCGUUAAACAUUAACUUUUUCUUAACAGAAUGGUAGCGAAUUGAUAACGGCGCAAAACUUUGGUAGUAAAAUGCACUUUUCGGCAAACCUUAGUAUUGACAUGAUAUGUCAAUAAAACUUUGGUAGUAAAAUGAUAAUUUUCCUAUAUAGAAAGACAGUAAUACUAGAUCUACAAACUCUUUGUGCAAACUGAUGUAGUAUAACAAAGUUGAUUUGAUAAAAUAAAAAAAAUAAAAUAAAAAAUAAAAAAUUCCACAUGAUGUAUGUAAUUAAUUUUCAUUAAUAUUUUAUAUUUGAAUGAGUCUAUUUCAACUUGAUUUUUUUAUAAAAUCUUUUACUCAAAAUUUGAGCCAUUGAUCUUAUGCAAUACAAUAAGGGAGGAAUUUUGACAUCAUUAAAUGUUAUUUUGACAUUCAAUUUAUCUAAAAUUAGAUUGUAUAAAAUAAAUAAUUCAAAAUUUUAAGUAGAAAAUUUAAGUUAAAAUAACCCCACUCUAUUUUCUUCGACCAAAAUUGUUAUAUAUGCGACUGCUAUUUGUAGAAUGAGGUUAUGACUCUGUAUAUAUCAGUAUUGAAACAUUAAUAUUUAAGUGGGAGAGAAAAUAGAAAUCCUAUUAUUAAUCAAUUUAAUUACCUUGAGCAGAACUGCAUCUGCUGGAGGUAUUGCUUCAAACAUGUCGCCUCCAAGAAAUUCCAGGUUCUUAUUAGUCCCCUGCUGCUGCUGCAAAUUAUUAUCAACGACAUGUGGGAGAUAAAAAACGAUGCAUUCCAUUUCAGGAAAAGCUUCUGCGAUGGCUUUGGCCAUAGUUCCAGUGCCGCCACCCAGAUCAACCAGACACUUCAGCCCCUUGAAUACCUCCUUACAAUCUUUAAUCAGGACGCUUGAUAUGAACUGAGAGUCAGCCAUCAUGGCAUCAUAAAAGACGUUCUUAAAUUUAGCUUCUUGAGCCAAAGAACCCCAAAUGUCUUUCCCAUGCGUUGACUCAAACACUGUGAGCGUAGAGGGAUCAUCAUUCUUGAACCAAGAGCUCAAGAAAUUGAAGGGAGUCGUUACUAUAGGAUGGGUUAUCAAAAACAUAAAUGGUGCGGCCCUCAAGGGCUCAUCCUUUAGGAGGAGUCGAGAAGCUGGUGUAAGAGAAUAAUACACUUCUGAUUCGUCUUUGUCAAUUUUAUUUUGUUGAGCAAAGAAGCCAGAGUGAACUAGAAUCCGCAUAAGGCGUUGAAUGCAAUGAGCUUUGUUUUUUUUUGGAUAUCGAGUGCUGAAGCUGUCUGUGAAAGAGUCAUGGGCUGGCCAUGUUUGUGAAUAACAUCUGGUAUGCCAAGUUCAACGGCACAUUUUAGUGACAUGGAAUUAAUGUAAUUGAAGGCACAAUUCCACACCUGAGCUUGAGCUUUAAAAAGCUCACAGCUGCUGCUGCUGCUGCUGCUACUCUCUGCAUUAAUCAUAGGAUUCAUAUCCAUUUCAGGCUAUUCAAAGCUUGGCGAACCCUUUAAAGAUUCUUGUCUCUUUAUAUAGCAAUUGAUACUAUGUAGUAUCUAGUGGGAUUAGUUGAGAAGUUUAAUUUGUAGGACAACAUGUAUCUCAAAUGUUUUUAUCCGAGCAGUGAAAUUAAAUCAACCAGAAAUUUACAACAAAAAUAAUUAUAAUAGGUCAAAAGGGGCAUGUAACAAUAGAUCACAAGACAUGCAUAAUCUUUUUUAUUGUACCAUAUUCCCCAAGACUUCAACUAUUUUACUAUAAUGCUUUAAUUCAAAUAAAUUUGGAUUUUGAAAGACCUAAUGACAGUGUAUGCAUGUAUAUCAGCACUGGGUGCCACUCCUGUCUCUCUGUACAAUCUGUCAUUAACAAGAAGCGAGCUUAAAUAUUGUCAACGUAGUAUAUGAAUUAACUGUUGAAAAGUCAACAUGCAUGAUCUUCUAGCUGCAAUAUUAGAAAUAUUGAUGAAGCAUGUGGCUGGAAUCGUGGAAAUUGAAGCUAAAUGAGUUGGUGAAGCAUGUGACAAUUUGACAAUUUCAUAACGACUUUGACAAAUUGGAAAAAUUGACUAAAUUGUAGGUGGGCAGCGAAUGUAUAAUAGUGCAAAACGCUUCCUAUAAAUAGAUGGAAUUUUUUCAUUUGUUGAGCAUCCCAAAAAAUUGAGUGAAUAACAAUUCAUUUGUAGAAUUGUUGAGAGUGAGCAAUUAGAGAGUAUGAGCACUUGAGAGAUUUUUCCUUUCAAGUGUGUGUGAGAGUACUGGGUGUAUUUGGGUUUUAGGAAAUGAGAUUUCUACUCAAAUAUUGUACUCUGAUAAUUGUUAAUAAUAUAAUUAUUUUCUCUUCCUCCCAUGGACGUAGGCAAAAUUACCGAAUCACAUUAAAUUUUGUGUUCUUUAUUUUUUUGUGAUUAUUUAGUGCGCUUGAUUUCACAUUUUACGCACAACAUUAACUCCCUUCUUUAACUUCUUGCCAUUUGAGGAAUUUUCAACUGCAGGCAUUAUAGAUUAGCCCCCUGAUUUACAUUUUUUUAAAAUAAAAAAUUAUAUAAUAUUUUAUAAUUUGAACGACCUUGAUGCUCGAUACUCAAUACCUCGUUUUAUGUAUUAGUUAUUUUUUGCCACCCCCCAUAAGAAUCAACAAAUGUUACUGUGCACCCUAAUCUUUCGGCAACUAUCACCGCACACCCAUUCCGUUAGAAAUUACUGUUAACCUUAACGAUUUUGUCAGACAUCUAUUGAAAUCACCAUAAUGCCCCCAUAUAAAUUGAAUUAACUGCAAGUACUAAAUGGCCCAUACAUUUUUAAGGGAUUAUAAGAAUAUAUUAAUUGGCAGUUGGCACUUUAUUUUCUUCAAAAAAAGAUAAUUAUAGAAUGUGUAAAACAAUGUUAAAUGUAAACCGAAAAUAAUUAAAAUUAAAUUAAAGCUAUUUUUUUAAAGAGAUUAAAUUAAAACUAAAAUUAAUUGGACAUUAUUAGUCCUGGAACCAAAACCCAGAAGACAUCUCCAACUCCAAGCUCCAACCUCAUGGCAGUAUUUAUAGCAAUAACCAAAUUUCUGCUUUGAAAGCACCACAAACAACGACAUAAACUUCCAAUUUCAUAGCACAAUCAAAAUAAUUUAUAUAUCAAACAAACUGUCAACUACCCAAACCUAAAAAUCAAUGAAUAAUAACAUGGAAACCCUAAAAUUUUAGGGUUGGGAUUUUAUAGUUGCUAGUCACCAUUGUUGGUGUUGCAUUAGUUAGCAGCAACCCAUGACUCUUUGAACUGCUAGAAGCCUCUCGGUCUAGCGUCACGCUCCUACUGCUUGUUUCCACCAGGAAAUGGACAUUUGCUGCGGUAGUGCAAUUGGUUAUGUGACCCUUGUGACGUCGAUGCUGGGGAAAAGCGAAAAACCUUGUUGUGGAGCGUGAAUGGAGAAGGGAAGAAAAUGAGCACUUUGUUGCGGAGUGUAAAUAGAGGAGAGAAGAUGGAGCGUGAAUGGAGUCAUGGAGAAGGAAGAGAAAAAAAUAAAAUUUUUCUUUUUUUUCUUUAUCAAUCCCAAUAACUUUACUAUUUUACCCUUAUAACAGUUAAGUUAAUAGUGAUUUCCAACGGAAUGGGUGCGUAGUGAUAAUUGUUAAAAGAUUAGGAUACACGGUAACAUUUGUUGAUUUUUAUUAGGGAUGGCAAAAUCCUCCACGGGUUUGGGGCCCCAUGGAGCCCCACCCCAAAUGGGAAAAAUUUUGAAUAAUUUUUGGGGAAUGGGGUGGGGAGUGGGGGGAAAAUAAUCCCCAAUUUCUUAAUGGGGUGGGGUUUGGUUUUGUACUCCCCACCCCACCCCACCUCAAUCCCCAUUAUAUAUAAAUAUGUUUUUAAUUUUUAUUUUAUCAAUUAUAAUAUCAAUUAAUAAUAUUUUUUUUUAAUUUUUAUGCAAUAUAAACAAGAUAUGAAUGAAAGAAAAUCCUAUAAUAUAUUUCAAUUCUGAAACAUUGUUAUAUUUUCUUUUCUCUUUUAAGGUGCUACGCUCUUUAAAUAUUUUUCAUUUUUAAUAUUAUUUUAAGAUAUUGUUUCAAACUUUUAGAUUUUUUUAAAAAGAAUUUAAAUACUUUAUAAUAUGAUGAUGAAUUUAUUUUAAGUCUCUAAUUUUUAACUUACUAAAAUAAUGUAUUUAUACAUAUUAUAAAAUAGAUAAAUGAGGAAUGAUGUGGGGAUGGGGAAAUCAUUCCCCACAUGGGGAUUCUCCAUCCCCACCUCACUAAAUUUAUUAAGGAAUUGAGGUAAAAAUUUNNNNNNNNNNNNNNNNNNNNNNNNNNNNNNNNNNNNNNNNNNNNNNNNNNNNNNNNNNNNNNNNNNNNNNNNNNNNNNNNNNNNNNNNNNNNNNNNNNNNNNNNNNNNNNNNNNNNNNNNNNNNNNNNNNNNNNNNNNNNNNNNNNNNNNNNNNNNNNNNNNNNNNNNNNNNNNNNNNNNNNNNNNNNNNNNNNNNNNNNNNNNNNNNNNNNNNNNNNNNNNNNNNNNNNNNNNNNNNNNNNNNNNNNNNNNNNNNNNNNNNNNNNNNNNCCCCACCCCAUUGGCCUCCCUAAUUCUUAUGGGGAUGGCAAAAAAUAACCCUAUAUAUUAAAAAAAUUAAAUAUCAAUUUUAUCAGCACAUGGGUCAGCAGAUGGAUACAUUGAACCCAUUAAAAAUGCCCUUUAGAGAUACACGCUAUUUCUCGUGAAUCAUGAGUUCAUGACAUCCAUCACCCAAAUUUAAAAAAUUCUGCUUUUUCUUUAAACACCCCUCUGAAUUUUAAUAAUAACCCUUAUUAUUCUUUUUCCCAUUAAUGAUGAACCGUGUUAUGGAUUGUUGUUUUCGAGAUUAAUCUUAUAUUAAUUCUAUUGAGUUGACGAAACUAUUCAAAUUUGAUCCCGUGCCACGAUAUUUUUCCUCCAAUCUAUUUUAUCAGAAUGUUUACUAAUAUUUAUAUAAGAUAAUUAGUAAAUUUACUCUCUUCAAAUCAUUCUUCUUAUUUUUAAAAAUCUCAAUUUACUCCUUAUUUUUCUUAAGAAAAAAAUAUCAACUCACUCCUUUUUUCUUUAUCUUUUAUAUAAAAAAUAAGAGUAACUUGAGGUUUUCAAAAGUUAGAAGAUGAUUUGAAGAUGAUCAAUUAAGAAGGGAGACAAUUCAAAAUUUAUCUUUUGUAUAAACAUUAUUACUUGAAUGGGUGCAGAAACCGAUCUCAUAAUUCUAACCAAAUAAUUUUUAAGUAAUUUUAUUCUGCUACCCACACAAAUUCAAAUUUUAAGAGAAAUAAAAAAUUAAAUAAAUCUAAUUGAACUUUUAACUUUGUCCAUCCUAUUAAAAAAAUAAAUAAAUAAAAUCGGUCAAGAAGCUUGGCAGCAUCUUCGCUUAAUAAGAAGAAUUUUUUUUUUAAAAAAAAAAAAGGUUACAUCAGCAUAUGGAUCAGCAAAGUUGACCCACUGAGGGCCCUAUCCAAUAUAGAAAAUUUUCUAUUACUUAUGCCCGACGACAUGGCGGAAUGAUUUUCUGAAUAGGUUUCAAAAGUUUUAUUUAGUUAGUUAAUUGAGUUUAAGUCUUGUGAGAUACAGAGUUGAAAAUUGAUUUGGAUUUUGUCCAUUUAUUUACUUUCUAAAACUAAAUAAUAAUUAAUUUGAUAAUUUUAUUAAAUUUUUUUGGGUUAAAAAUACAUAAUUAUAUUUACUCUAAAAAAUUUAGUCAAGUAGUUUUAAGCAGUUUUAUUUAUAUGACGCCCUAGUUUAAAUCUUAAGACUAAAACAUAAAAUUGAUUUUUUUAUAGGUAUUAUUCAAGUCAAACUUCUCAGUAAAUCAAUCUAUUAAUGUCCAAUAAGUAUUUAUUUAAAUUCAAAUUAUUGAUUAUAAUGCAAUGAUUAGGAUAAUGAUUUUUUUUGUGCAUUAAAUAGUUGAUUUAAUAUAAGAAUAUCGUCUUUUAUUAUCAUUGCGAUUGUUUUAAUAAAUCCUGUUCAUAACCUUGCUUGAAAUUUAAACCAUUGAUAAAACUAACAUUUCACUGUAAACGCAUUAGGAAAAAAAACAAUGUAAUUGAAUUGCAAACGGCUAGCUGAAUGGAAUACAUCCGCUACCAAGUCAAGAAUUAAAUCCCUCUCUUUCCCCUAUUUUGGGAAAAUGAUGGAAACUUGGAACACUCUCCAUAGGAGUGAGAUAGGAAACUUGGAAAUUUUUUCACUUUAUGUGUACACGGAGAUCCUUUGGUUCAUUUCUUCUAUUUGAGAGAAUAUCUAAAUUCAAUGACAAUGUAGUGUGUUUUUCUCUGUCAUGAUUUUAACACCCUAGAUGAAAUCGAAUAUUAAAAAUUUUCUAGAGACCUAAUUAUGUACGUAGGACAUUUAGUAUAUAUAACAGGGACCAAAUCGUCAUUCAAAUACGUGCUAAAACAUUUAGUAUAUAAAGUUUACAACAAAAAUCCCUCUCUUUCUUUUUAUUUAUUUCACAAAACUUCCAUUUCUUUAGCACACUCGCAAAUUACAACUUGGGUUCUCAUUUUGCAACUAAUAUUCUAGGUAAGUUACAACCCACUGGAGAACCCAAGUAAAAUAAAGCUUAUUACAACAAUACAUAAACAAGCAUUUGAUAUUCACAUAAAAGAUAUAAUGGUAGGUAAUGUCUAAUUUAAAUUUUAACUCUUA